UAUGAUUGGUAAAAAAAUUUCACCCAUAGAGCGGAUGGAAUGUAUGAUAUACACUUUGCAGAGGGUGUAUAUUUGGAUAGUAUUUUUUGUAACAAAAUAUGGUAAAAUUAUACGGAACUUAUCUGAACUAUAAAUGAUUUUGAAUCUGCUGCUCAACCAUUCAAAAUUUUGAUUUACUAUCGAACCUUUCAAUUUAUUAGAUUUGAGUCAGGCAACAGUAAUUUAAUUUAAGCUAAUUAUUUACUUUAAUAAAUUUUUGGUUGUAAGAAUUACGUGAAAUAUAGAUCUUUCUGAAUCAGCUAUCCAAUCCUUUGAACCGGCCACUCAACAUACAGAGUUUAUCUGAACUAUGAAUUAUUUUGAAUCGAUUAUCCAACCUUUUUGAAUUUUGAUUUUAUAACACAACUUUUUAGUUUGUUUGAUUUGAGCAAGUCAACGGUACUUUGACUUCAAAAUUUAAACUGAUUAUUUUAAUGAAUUUAUAAUUGCGAAAAAUUUUAUGAAGUAUAGUAAAUCUAUAGAGAUAAAUAAUGUAUUCAAAAUUUAAAAAUAAAGGUAUUGUUGACCGACUCAAAUCAAAUAAACUAGAAGAAUAAACAGUAAAAAUAAAUUUUGAAAGAAUGAAUAGCUAAUUCAAAAUAGUCGAUAGUAUAAGUUCUGUACAUUUGUACCUAAAAAUAGCAAUGAGAGAGAGAGAGAGAGAGAGAGAGAGAGAGAGAGAGAAUAUUAGGCUUUAAUUAGGAAA
Molecule: long non-coding RNA, 745 nt
Filed under: Ananas comosus (pineapple)
Lineage: Eukaryota; Viridiplantae; Streptophyta; Magnoliopsida; Poales; Bromeliaceae
Description: long non-coding RNA (ACOM_LNC037809)
Source: RNAcentral